RNAcentral lists this ribosomal RNA (120 nucleotides) under Nannospalax galili (Upper Galilee mountains blind mole rat). Lineage: Eukaryota; Metazoa; Chordata; Mammalia; Rodentia; Spalacidae. The record is from RNAcentral.
GCCUGUGGCCAUACCACCCUGAAUGUGCCUGAUCCUGUCUCAUCAUCUCAAAAGCUAAGCAGUGUUGGGCCUGGUUAGUGCCUAGAUGGGAAAAGGGGACACUCCAGGCUGCAGAAGGCA